AUCCAUCUGACGAAUCCCAAAAUAGGACAAAAUGCUCGUCUUGGAU
Molecule: non-coding RNA, 46 nt
Filed under: Schistosoma margrebowiei
Lineage: Eukaryota; Metazoa; Platyhelminthes; Trematoda; Strigeidida; Schistosomatidae
Source: RNAcentral